RNAcentral lists this ribosomal RNA (757 nucleotides) under uncultured bacterium. Its description in RNAcentral is "bacterial SSU rRNA". It matches the Rfam family "Bacterial small subunit ribosomal RNA", at positions 55 to 824 of the family's 1533-position model. The record is from RNAcentral.
AUGAAACCUUAACAGAUUCCUUCGGGAUGAAGACUAGGUGGAUUAGUGGCGGACGGGUGAGUAACACGUGAGUAACCUGCCUUUGACACAGGGAUAGCCAUGGGAAACCGUGAUUAAUACCAGAUGAAAUCUAAACUACACAUGUAGCAAAGAUCAAAGCGACCAAGCGGUCAAAGAUGGACUCGCGCCUGAUUAGCUAGUUGGUGAGAUAAAAGCUCACCAAGGCAACGAUCAGUAGCCGGCCUGAGAGGGUGACCGGCCACAUUGGAACUGAGACACGGUCCAAACUCCUACGGGAGGCAGCAGUGGGGAAUAUUGCACAAUGGGGGGAACCCUGAUGCAGCGACGCCGCGUGAGCGAAGAAGGGAUUCGUUUCGUAAAGCUCUGUCCUAUGGGAAGAUAAUGACGGUACCAUAGAAGAAAGCCCCGGCUAACUACGUGCCAGCAGCCGCGGUAAUACGUAGGGGGCGAGCGUUGUCCGGAAUCACUGGGCGUAAAGGGUUCGCAGGCGGAUAAACAAGUCAAGAGUAAAAGGCAUGGGCUUAACCCAUGUAAGCUAUUGAAACUGUCUAUCUUGAGAUGUGGAGAGGUAAGUGGAAUUACUAGUGUAGCGGUGAAAUGCGUAGAUAUUAGUAGGAAUACCAGUAGCGAAGGCGACUUACUGGACACAAACUGACGCUGAGGAACGAAAGCGUGGGUAGCAAACAGGAUUAGAUACCCUGGUAGUCCACGCUGUAAACGAUGAGUGCUAGGUGUC